GCAUUGGUGGUUCAGUGGUAGAAUUCUCGCCUUCCCUGCAGGAGAUCUGAGUUGGAUUCCCAGCCAGUGUA
This 71-nucleotide transfer RNA is filed under the name Loxodonta africana (African savanna elephant). It matches the Rfam family "tRNA". From Rfam's summary of the family: Transfer RNA (tRNA) molecules are approximately 80 nucleotides in length. The record is from Rfam by way of RNAcentral. Lineage: Eukaryota; Metazoa; Chordata; Mammalia; Proboscidea; Elephantidae.